GUGGGUUGACAGGUAAGGACCAAGCGUUACAUUACUAUUGCCAGUUAUUUGUAUGUUUUUAAAUAAACUAUUAAAAAAGAUUUUGUGUACCAAAUGCAUUUAUGUCCACAAUUAACAUUUUAAAGGUACUUUUCUUCACAUGUGUACUGCAUUCAGGAUUUCAAAUCCCAAGCCACAAGAGCACCUUACAUGGGAUUCUUGGAAGACCACAGAGGCCAUUUCCCUGAGGCAACUUCUGGGAUCCUUAAAAACAACUGUGCUUCUUGCAAAAAGUACAGCAGUGACACUGGCAACAAGCUGAACCUGUUUCAUUGCAUGCAACGCUUCACUAGAGAGUGCACAUCAGAGCACCACCCACUGUUCAGCUCUUUUUCCUAGUUCCUGUCAGCUGCUUUUUGUGUUGUCAAUCAGACAGACCUACAAAGACUUAUGCAGGCCUAUGUUUUCUGUGGGAUUGUGCCACCAAAUCCAACAAAGCAACACAUAAAGGAACAUUGUCACACCAAAUCCCUCAGCCUUGAUCCUACCUUAGUUGCAGGGUUGAACAAACUCUCUCAGGAAGUGACAGGCCAAGUCAAGUACCCUGCAUUACUCAUCUCCCAGAUAGACACUAAGGAAAGGUUUGGCCUGGAAUAUCUGGAGCUUGCUUGUCGCCCCAUCCCUCUUGACUGGAACAAACACAAGUCACAGAAGACCACAACAGGAGGGGAGGGAGAACCACACACCUCAGAGUCUAUGACCCAUUAGCUAGACCACCUGAUGACACCAGACAGGAAACCCUUUGCUCUGGAUGACAUCCCUAGUGUGGCUACAACAAAAACACAACUCAUCCAACCUACCUCCAAGUAGAAGGUCCCCCUGCAAUCCCUCCUCUGCCUUUUACUGCCUCUCCCUGAGCUGCACGCACUGACCCUAUCAAAACGGGUGGCUUGCUUUUCGUUUUGGACCACACAAGAUGGACACAGCCUAUGAGAGAUACCAUUGAUGGCCUUCUGCCAAAAUAUAGCAGACAGAAAGAUUUCCUGACCAAGGUGGAUACAGAGUAUGCUGCCAUUGUACAAGCUGCCUCCAAAAAUCCCAACAGUCUUUUACAAAGCACCACCAUGGGCGACAUCUUAUGUCAGCUGAACUCCUCUUCUUGCUGCUUGGACAUCCUGCCCACAGGUUUCUUCAAAAAGAUCUCAAAGACUCUAGAGCCAGAUCUAUUACAGAUUGUGAACUUGUCUUUAAUUUCCGACGUCUUCCCAGAACUUCUAAA
Long non-coding RNA from Melanotaenia boesemani (Boeseman's rainbowfish), 1258 nucleotides. RefSeq lists it as uncharacterized. The transcript is spliced from 3 exons. NCBI's taxonomy places the organism in Eukaryota, Metazoa, Chordata, Actinopteri, Atheriniformes, Melanotaeniidae. The record is from RefSeq and is a predicted model, not a curated record.